RNAcentral lists this ribosomal RNA (293 nucleotides) under uncultured eukaryote. RNAcentral describes it as "partial 18S ribosomal RNA". It matches the Rfam family "Eukaryotic small subunit ribosomal RNA", at positions 6 to 377 of the family's 1831-position model. The record is from RNAcentral.
GGUUGAUCCUGCCAGUGGUUGUACAUUCGGGAGUGAGAUUAAGCCAUGCAUGUGUAAGUUGACUGUUGUAGACUGCGGAUAGCUCAAUAUAAUGACUAGAAUCUUUGUAACAAACAUUUAUGGAAUAUAGGCGGAAACUCUGCCGGUAAUCCUCGAAUAAUCAACCGAAGGCAAAGUAUUUGUAUGAAUGGAAUGAAAGUUUGAAACUUGUUGCGCUACAAGUCAUCCUAUCAGUUGAGCACAUUAGGGUAGUGUCUUAAUGUGGCUAUUACGGGUGACGGGGAAUGAGGGUU